ACUAUCGCCUGCUGCUGCUCGCACAGUUUUGCCAGCAUGUGCAAGGUGGAGUUCCACCUUGUGGGCACGUCGCAUAUGAGACGGUGAGCGGGAGGGCCGAAGUUACGCUGCAGCGCUGACAGGCAAGCAGCAGGGUGAGAACGCCGAAAGCGCGCACAG
This is a long non-coding RNA of Bufo bufo (common toad), 159 nucleotides long. RefSeq lists it as uncharacterized. Lineage: Eukaryota; Metazoa; Chordata; Amphibia; Anura; Bufonidae. The transcript has 3 exons. The record is from RefSeq and is a predicted model, not a curated record.